RNAcentral lists this long non-coding RNA (4040 nucleotides) under Homo sapiens (human). Its description in RNAcentral is "HSALNT0123168". Lineage: Eukaryota; Metazoa; Chordata; Mammalia; Primates; Hominidae. The record is from RNAcentral.
UCGAGCCACUGCACUCCAGCCUGGCGACAGAGUGAGACUCCGUCUCAAAAAAAAAAAAAAGUCACAAUUAUUUAUCAUAUUUAUUACCUCAAAUAAUUAUUAUUUUCUUUGCUUUUUGGGGGGUGAGAACAUGUAGAUCUACUCUUUUACCAAAUUUCAAGUAUACAAUGUUGUAUAUUGUUAACUAUAUUCACACUGCCAUACAUUAGAUUUUCAGAACUUACUGAUUUUGCAAACUGAAUCUUUGCAUACCCUGACCUAUAUCACAAAGAGAAUUUUGAAAGCAGCAAGAGAAAAACAUCUUGUCCCAUAUAAGGGAGGCUGCGUAAGACUAUCAAUGGAUUUCUCAAAAGAAUCUUGCAGAUCAAGAAACAGUGGGAUGAUUCAAUGUACUGGAAGAAAGAGAAAGACCAAAAGGAAUACUUUACCCCAGAAAAGCUGUCCUUUAAGAAUAAAGGAUGGGCUGGGCCAGGUGGCUCACGCCUGUAAUCCCAGCACUUUGGGAGGCUGAGGCAGGCAGAUCACCUGAGGUCAGGAGUUCAAGACCAGCCUGGCCAACAUGGCAAAACCCUGUCUCUACUAAAAAUACAAAAAUUAGCCAAUGUGAUAUAGGGUGCCUGUAAUCCCAGCUACUCAGGAGGCUGAGGCAGGAGAAUUGCUUGAACCCAGGAGGUAGAGGUUGCAGUGAGCCGAGGCCAUGCCAUUGUACUCCAGCCUGGGCAACAAGAGUAAAACACUGUCCCAGAAAAAAAAAAAAAAAAGAAUAAAGAACAAUGCUGCCAUCUGAUCUUUUCAGCUGUGGCCUGGCACCCUUCUGAGAGCCCGGCUCCCAGAUACUUGCAGUCUGCCCUGGCACUGCUGUCACUUUAGCAUUCUGCAGUUGCCUGAGCAUUCUUCCUGCCCCUGCCUAAGUUUUCUGCCAGCUGUGUGGGGGCCAGCCUGCCCCUCUCUAUCACAGCCAGCACCUGAACCCUGGGUACCUGAGGACACAUAUGCCAGCCUGCUUCUGAUCCAGUCCCUCCAGUACUUAUGCAUGCCAUCCAGAGCACCAUAUAGGGAUCUGAGAAUCAAGAAAAUGGCUAGCCCAGUACACCAUUGGCACAUGAUCGCUCUCUCUGGAGACUAAGGCUGUGCUGACCCAGCUAGCCAACACUGCAACAGCUGAAAUCCACCCUCAUGUGCUGAAAGGUGAAGCUGCUUCCCCUUUGUACACAAAGGAGCAGCGUUCCUGCAUGAGAGAACAGGCAAGCCACAGGGCUGUCUGUAUUGGCCUGAGGGAAGAGGUCCUACCCUGAGGUUGCUCCUGUGAAGAGCCACAAGACAGGCAUUUUCAAUGGCUCUUGGCUACGUUAUGACCUAGAGAUAGAUGACUGGGUCUGUAUGAACUGAGAGUCAUGAACUCUGGGACAGGGGUAGGAUAGGGAAACACAUCAUGUUCCUACCUACACAGGAGGUAGAGCUGGUACAGCUCCUCCCUCCCUACAGAGACCUGUGAGCAUUUCACCAGGAGCUGCACCAGCCACCCUCUAAAGGCUACUGUUCACGUUCAUCAUUGAGAUGUUGGUGGGUAAGCUUUGUGGUCCAGCUCUGCCCAGCUGUGUCUUCCCCUCUGGGCUGAACAGGCAACUCAGAGUCUAGGCAUUACAUAGACCAGCCUAUCACCUGAAACAACAGACAGGAAAUCACAGUAAACAAAGAUCAAACACACACCAUCUGCUUCUGCCAUAGCUGGCUCUUACUCAUAAGUGCCACUUACUGGCAUGGAGGUUAAACUACACAAAUCAAUAAAAAGUCUACUGACAGAAGGGCACAGGGCUAAAGAAACAAAGCCAAAGCCCCCUACCCAAUAUAUGCUGUAGUUACACCCACAAGGAGGAAAAACCCCAUCUAAAUUAAAGUAAAUUCAAAAAUAAGAAGUGACAACUUUCCCAGAUGAGAAGAAACCAUCAUAAGAAGUUUGGCAUCAUGAAGAAAAAAAAAAAAGCAGAAUGUUUUGACACUACCAAAGGACACACUAGCUCUCUCGCAAUGGAUCCUAACCAAAAUGAAAAUUCUGAAAUGAAAGAUAAUGAAUUCAAAAUAUGGAUUAUAAGGAAGUUCAAUGAGAUCCAAGACAAAGCUGAAAAUCAACACAAAGAUACCAGAACAAUGCAGAAUGUGAAUGAAGUACAGAUAUCUUAAAAAAAAAACAAUUGAAUUUCUAGAAAUGAAAAACACACUGAAGGGUUGGGUUACAGAUGAAAGCUUUUUUUUUUUUUUUUUCUUUUUGAGACAGAGUCUUGCUCUGUCGCCCAGGCUGCAGUGCAGUGGCGCCAUCUCAGCUCACUGCAAGCUCCACCUCCCGGGUUCACACCAUUCUCCUGCCUCAGCCUCCUGAGUAGCUGGGACUACAGGCACCCACUACCACGCCCGGCUAAUUUUUUGUAUUUUUAGUAGAGGUGGGGUUUCACCGUGUUAGCCAGGAUGGUCUCGAUCUCCUGACCUCGUGAUCCGCCCAUCUCGGCCUCCCAAAGUGCUGGGAUUACAGGCGUGAGCCACUGCACCCGGCCAGAUGAAAGCUUUAACAAUAGGCUAGACUAAGCAGAAGACAGACAGAAAAUAGGAUCCCAGUGCCUUUUGGCUUGUAAACUUUCUUCUGAGAAGUCGGCUGUUAGUCUAAUGUGAUUUCCUUUAUAGGUGAUUUGAAAAUUGUCUCUUGCUUCUUUCAGAGUAUUUUCCUUCAAGUUGCCUUUGGAUAGUCUGGUGAAGUUCAUCUUGCAAAAUAUUUUCAGAUACACAGACAAGGCUGGGCGCAGUGGUUCACGCUUUGGGAGGCUGAGGCGGGCAGAUCACUCGAGGUCAGGAGUUCAAGACCAGCCUGGCCAACAUGGCAAGACUCCGUCUCUAUUAAAAAUACAAAAAUUAGGCCGAGCACAGUGGCUCACGCCUGUAAUCUCAGCAUUUUGAGAGGCUGAGGUGGGUGGAUCACCCGAGGUCGGGAGUUCGAGACCAGCUUGACCAACAUGGAGAAACCCCAUCUCCACUAAAAAUACAAAAUUAGCCAGGCAUGGUGGCACAUGCCUGUAAUCUCAUCUACUCAGAAGGCUGAGGCAGGAGAAUCGCUUGAACCCAGGAGGUGGAGGUUGCAGUGAGCCCAGAUCACGCCAUUGCACUCUGGCCUGGGCAACAAGAAUGAAACUCCGCCAAAAAAAAAAAAAAAAAAAAAAAUUAGCCGGGCAUGGUGGCACAGGCCUGUCAGGCCUAUAGUCCCAGCUACUUGGGAGGCUGAGGCCAGAGAAUCACUUGAACCCAGGAGGCAGAGGUUGCAGUGAGCCAAGAUUGUGCCACUGCACUCCAGCCUGGGAGACAGUAAGACUCCAUCUCAAAAUAAAAUAAAAUAAAAUAGAUACACAGAUACUUACCAUUGUGUUAUAAUUCUACAGUAUUCCGUACAGUACCAUGCUGUCCAGGUUUGUAGCCUAGGAGCAAUAGGCCAUACCAUAAAAGGCUAUAGCCUAGAUGUGUAGUAGGCUAUAUCAUGUAGGUAUGUGUAGAUACACUCUAAGAUGUUUGCAUAAUGAUGAAAUCACCUAAAGAUAUGUAACUACACUUGCAUGCAAGUGCCUUCAAGAUGUCUUAUUAUCUCAAAAUUAAUAUUACAUCAUGAAAGGUUGAGACCAGGAACAAUGGCUCAUGCCUGUAAUCCCAACAACUCUGGGAGGGCAAGGUGGGUGGAUCACUUGAGCCAGAAGUUCAAGUUCAGCCUGGGCAACAUAGUGACACCCUGUCUCUACAAAAAAUACAAAAAUUAGCCAAUCUUGGUAGCACACUCCUGUCCCAGUUGCUCGGAUGGCUAAGGUGGGAAGAUUGCUUGAGCCCAGGAGGUUGAGGCUGCAGUGAGCUAUGAUGACGCCACUGCACUCUAGCCUGGGUGACAGAGCAAGACCCUGCCUCAAAUACAAAAAAAAAAAAAGAAAAAGAAGGCUGGGCACGGUGGCUCACACCUGUAAUCCCAGCACUCUGGGAGGCCAAGGCGGGAGGAUCACGAGGUCAGGAGAUCG